This 2424-nucleotide long non-coding RNA is filed under the name Homo sapiens (human). Its description in RNAcentral is "HSALNT0153730". The record is from RNAcentral. Lineage: Eukaryota; Metazoa; Chordata; Mammalia; Primates; Hominidae.
CCUUGGAGAGGCAGAAGAAAUUCACAGUCCCCUUGUAAAAUCUCUCACUUGCCUUGCACUUAGGGGAUGUCAAAAGUGUUCUCUCUCUGCCAGCUCCUCACUUUCCAUACCCCCUUGAAUCUCACAUAUUUACCACCUUGUUUUUUCCUUCUUUUUUUCUUUACAAUUUUUCAACAGGGCCUUUAUUUUCAUCAAACGAGCAUUUUAAUGCGUAGUUCAAGAGAAAUUCAGUCCGUAUGUUUCAGAUUCAUUUACAGUUAAAUCAUCAGUAGUUUUGCAAUCACAAUUUGGCAGCCAGGAGAUCUUGGAGGCUUUUUUUUUUUUUUUUUUUAGGCCCUUUGACUUGGAGUCAAGAUGUGCUGUACAGUUUGGUGCUGAGUGCUCUGGACGCCCCAGCAGGGCCGGAGAAAAUCUGCAGAGGCAGCAGCAACUGACCCUAACAGAGCAAGAGGCCUGACCUUCACACCUAUGUAACCCAAGGUCACAGAAAUGCUGAGGGGCCAUGUGACUCCAGUGAAGCAGGAGUAUCCAUCCAGCCACAGAGAUGGGACCUGUCCAAAUGGGACCUGUCUGUUCCAAAGGUUAUUCUGCUUGUUCUGGAGACUGGGAAUUCCAAGAGCAUGAUACCAGCAUCUGGCGAGCGUUAUCCCCUGGUAGGAAGUAUCACAUGUGCUGGUUAAUUAACCAAUCAUAAAGAAAAGAUGAAAGUAUGUGAACCUCAAAUCCUUGUGUUCUGGAAAAAAAACAUACUCACAGAAUAAUGAAAAAAAAUUUCAACUAAUGAGAACCAGGAACAAUGACCACUGGAAAUAAUGAAAACAGUUGGAUCAAACAGCUACAAGUAAAGCACUUGGAAUGGUAGAGUGCUUCCCUCAAUGGAUGGAAGGAGACUGGAUCCCUCUGACACUGACUGGAAGAGCUCUGCUAAGCAAAGCUGCGAGCUCAUGAAAGACUGUGAGGAGAGUAAGAGGAGCUGGGAGAGGAGAUAAGAAAUGGGAUCAAAUAAUGAACAACAAGUUUCAAAGGGAUCAGAGUCCAAUAAAACCUGCCGCCUGAGCUCUUAAGAGAGAAAUGGAAAUCGUAGUUGUGAACAUCAGGCUUUCUAGAAGUGGCUGUACCAACAUCAGCCUUGAAAGAGCUCAAUCCAGCAGAUCCUGUCCCACUUGGAACCUGGCUAUGAGUGAGAAAACAUCUGUGGUUGGAAAAUGGGGCUGGUGAUUCAGGCCUGUUUGGGAAGAAGAUGCUCUUGAAUGCUUUGCUCAACAAACACCUCCCUUCUGCAAGGAGGUGAGAGGUCAUCUGUCUGUCUACUUUGACACUUUCACCCACUGAACUUCAGGGCUUAAGACACCUUCCCCAUAAAUUGGAGUGAGCGCGGCACAAACUGUCCCUGAAUUUGACCAUAACUGACUCACCAAAGGUCUGAGUAGGGGAGAAGGCAAAAACAGACAAACAGGCACUGAGGACUUUGCCAUCCCAGACCUGUGUCAUGUAAACAGGCUGUCUGCUUCACAGCCAAGGAAUGAGCCCUGGACGUGGGUCGGAACUGGAGCCUUAACAGCUAAUACCCAGAGCCUUUGACUGUGGACGACUGUGUUCAAAGGGGCAGGCUGCCCACUACUAGGGCAUGGAGGAGAGGCAGGAUGUGGGGAAAGAGUGUGGUUUUGGAAUCAGACACAACUGGUCCCCGCCACUUACUCAGCCUUGUGACCUCAGAUGAAAAAGUCUCUUAUUCUUACUAAGGCUCAGUUUCCCCAACUGUGAAACUGACAUAACACUAUGGACUUCAAAAGGCUUUACAAGCAAAACAAUUUAUAAAACAAUUUAUUCAACAAUUUAUUCAGGCACUUAGCACAGUGCUAGCACAUAGAUAUAAGUAACAGUUUUUUUUCUCUGUUCCUUCUACGUGGAGGAGAGGCAUCUGUUGUCUCUUCAAGUUAAUUAAUUUGAAAAUAUCCAGUAGCAACCAUUUCUUAAAUUCCUCUUACGAGCCAUUUAGUUUUGCAACAACUGCAAGAUAGACAGUAUUAUUCCCAUUUUACAGAUAUGGACAUUGAAGCUCAGGAGGUACACCGGAUAUAGUGACUUUGAUCUUCUCAUUGCCCUGACACUGAUGAGAGAGAGAUAACAAAAUCAAAAAGAACAGUUGGAGGAAUAAAUGUCAAAUAUAGGAGGCUGGAAGCAUAGUCUCUAACCUCAGUCUAGCCUCGGAUAAUAGCAUUUUCAUCUUGCUACAGCAGUAGCAGACACCAGCUGGGUGCCUUCUCCCUAUUUUAUUCAUUUGUAUGUUCAUUGAGCAAUUUAUCUAUUGCUAAUUCCUUAGCAAGCAUUUACUGUGACCUUCCUUUUAUUAUUACUAUUAUUAUUAUUCAUUUUAGAGACAGGGCUAUGCCAUUAUGUUGCCUACGCUGGAGGGCAGUGGUU